CCUAGACGUACCCUCCAAACACAGAUCUAAGCUCUUCUCUAUCUCUAAGCUCUGGCAAUUGACGACGGCGGCAAGUUGGACUCCUCUCUCAGAUCGACGAAGGCGGGUAUCUCCAGACUCCAGCGAUCGAUGACGACGAUGGCUUGAAAUCCUCUCUCUAUAGUCUACGAAAGUGGCAUCAGCAGCGGCAGUGUUUGAUGGAAAUAUUGGCGGCGUGAGCAGCGGCGACGGCACCAGCUCCGGCGUUGCUGCGCUUCCUCAGGUAAUGUCAUUGCUUCAACAAGGAAACAUUAACAGAACCACAGAUCCAGCUCGUGUCAACUAAACAUCGUCAUGCUGUUAGUCUUUAUAUGCUCGGUCAUUCUCGCCUUCAGAAAUGGUUUGCUUCAUGAACUCCUUCACUUGCACAAGAGUUAGAAUUGCUUUAGGCACAACACAUGCCAUUAAGAUGAUAGAAGAUGACAAGGUAAUAGCAAUAAUGUGUGUUGAUGACCCUGAGUUUUAUCAUUACAAGACUUUGGAGAGAUAACUCAACACUGUUUUGGUGAUAUUAUAUAUAUAAUGCCAGAAGUUUGCAUAUUUCAUCUUCAAUUGUCUGAUGAUGAUUUUGCUUAUGUUCAAUUCUUUAUUGCCCAUCCUUCAUUAUUUGUGAAUAGACAAGAAUGAGAAAAAAAAAAUCAGUGAAAGUGAGACUUAGCCUGCAAAAGAGGGGUUGUUGCUGCUAUCUAAAAAUUCAUGUAAGUUGAUCCAACUACCCCUACAUCUACAUGGCAUAUAUAUGAACAUUCAUGGUUUAAUUUAUUUAUUUAUUGUUUUAUGUUUACUAUUAUUAUGUAGUGUAGGCAAAGG
Molecule: long non-coding RNA, 849 nt
Organism: Ipomoea nil (Japanese morning glory)
Lineage: Eukaryota; Viridiplantae; Streptophyta; Magnoliopsida; Solanales; Convolvulaceae
Exons: 4
Source: RefSeq, a predicted model, not a curated record